This 323-nucleotide ribosomal RNA is filed under the name uncultured bacterium. Its description in RNAcentral is "bacterial SSU rRNA". It matches the Rfam family "Bacterial small subunit ribosomal RNA", at positions 28 to 334 of the family's 1533-position model. The record is from RNAcentral.
GAUGAACGCUGGCGGCGUGCUUAACACAUGCAAGUCGAGCGAGAAUCAACGGAUUGAGGAUUCGUCCAAAUGAAGUUGAGGAAAGUGGCGGACGGGUGAGUAACGCGUGAGGAACCUGCCUCGGAGUGGGGAAUAACAGUUGGAAACAGCUGCUAAUACCGCAUAAUGCAACGGAAUCGCAUGACUCUGUUGCCAAAGAUUUAUCGCUCUGAGAUGGCCUCGCGUCUGAUUAGCUAGUUGGCGGGGUAAAAGCUUACCAAGCCGACGAUCUGUAGCUGGUCUGAGAGGACGACCAGCCACACUGGGACUGAGACACGGCCCAG